Molecule: regulatory RNA element, 54 nt
Organism: Paenibacillus sp.
Lineage: Bacteria; Bacillati; Bacillota; Bacilli; Caryophanales; Paenibacillaceae
Rfam family: uup RNA
Source: Rfam
CCAGAGGCUGCUCCGCACAAUUGGAACAACAAACGAUGAAGCGUUGUCCGGAGC